RNAcentral lists this ribosomal RNA (779 nucleotides) under Leptolyngbya sp. IPPAS B-1204. RNAcentral describes it as "bacterial SSU rRNA". It matches the Rfam family "Bacterial small subunit ribosomal RNA", at positions 1 to 821 of the family's 1533-position model. Lineage: Bacteria; Bacillati; Cyanobacteriota; Cyanophyceae; Leptolyngbyales; Leptolyngbyaceae. The record is from RNAcentral.
AACAUGGAGAGUUUGAUCCUGGCUCAGGAUGAACGCUGGCGGUCUGCUUAACACAUGCAAGUCGAACGGAGGUCUUCGGACCUUAGUGGCGGACGGGUGAGUAACGCGUGAGAAUCUGGCCUCAGGACGGGGACAACGACUGGAAACGGUCGCUAAUACCCGAUGUGCCGAAAGGUGAAAGGAUUAAUUGCCUGAGGAUGAGCUCGCGUCUGAUUAGCUAGUUGGAGGGGUAAAGGCCCACCAAGGCGACGAUCAGUAGCUGGUCUGAGAGGAUGAUCAGCCACACUGGGACUGAGACACGGCCCAGACUCCUACGGGAGGCAGCAGUGGGGAAUUUUCCGCAAUGGGCGAAAGCCUGACGGAGCAAGACCGCGUGAGGGAAGACGGCCUACUGGUUGUAAACCUCUUUUGAUAGGGAAGAACACAAUGACGGUACCUAUCGAAUCAGCCUCGGCUAACUCCGUGCCAGCAGCCGCGGUAAUACGGAGGAGGCAAGCGUUAUCCGGAAUUAUUGGGCGUAAAGCGUCCGUAGGUGGAUAUUCAAGUCAGUUGUUAAAGCGUGGAGCUUAACUCCAUAAAGGCAAUUGAAACUGAAUGUCUAGAGUGCGAUAGGGGCAAGGGGAAUUCCCAGUGUAGCGGUGAAAUGCGUAGAUAUUGGGAAGAACAUCGGUGGCGAAAGCGCCUUGCUGGGUCUGCACUGACACUGAGGGACGAAAGCUAGGGGAGCGAAAGGGAUUAGAUACCCCUGUAGUCCUAGCCGUAAACGAUGGAUACUAGGC